This 497-nucleotide ribosomal RNA is filed under the name uncultured bacterium. Its description in RNAcentral is "partial 16S ribosomal RNA". It matches the Rfam family "Bacterial small subunit ribosomal RNA", at positions 28 to 507 of the family's 1533-position model. The record is from RNAcentral.
GAUGAACGCUGGCGGCGUGCCUAAUACAUGCAAGUCGAGCGAACAGACGAGGAGCUUGCUCCUCUGACGUUAGCGGCGGACGGGUGAGUAACACGUGGAUAACCUACCUAUAAGACUGGGAUAACUUCGGGAAACCGGAGCUAAUACCGGAUAAUAUAUUGAACCGCAUGGUUCAAUAGUGAAAGACGGUUUUGCUGUCACUUAUAGAUGGAUCCGCGCCGCAUUAGCUAGUUGGUAAGGUAACGGCUUACCAAGGCAACGAUGCGUAGCCGACCUGAGAGGGUGAACGGCCACACUGGAACUGAGACACGGUCCAGACUCCUACGGGAGGCAGCAGUAGGGAAUCUUCCGAAAUGGGCGAAAGCCUGACGGAGCAACGCCGCGUGAGUGAUGAAGGUCUUCGGAUCGUAAAACUCUGUUAUUAGGGAAGAACAAAUGUGUAAGUAACUAUGCACGCCUUGACGGUACCUAAUCAGAAAGCCACGGCUAACUACGUG